CGCGGCCUAUCAGCUUGUUGGUGGGGUAACGGCCUACCAAGGCAACGACGGGUAGCUGGUCUGAGAGGACGAUCAGCCACACUGGGACUGAGACACGGCCCAGACUCCUACGGGAGGCAGCAGUAGGGAAUCUUGCGCAAUGGGGGAAACCCUGACGCAGCGACGCCGCGUGCGGGAUGAAGGCCUUCGGGUCGUAAACCGCUUUCAGCAGGGACGAAAUUGACGGUACCUGCAGAAGAAGGCCCGGCCAACUACGUGCCAGCAGCCGCGGUGAUACGUAGGGGUCUAGCGUUGUCCGGAAUCAUUGGGCGUAAAGAGCUCGUAGGCGGUUCGAUUAGUCGGGUGUGAAAUCUCCACGCUCAACGUGGAGGGGCCACUCGAUACUGUCGUGACUCGAGUCCGGUAGGGGAGUUCGGAAUUCCCGGUGUAGCGGUGAAAUGCGCAGAUAUCGGGAGGAACACCAGUGGCGAAGGCGGAACUCUGGGCCGGAACUGACGCUGAGGAGCGAAAGCGUGGGGAGCGAACAGGAUUAGAUACCCUGGUAGUCCACGCCGUAAACGUUGGGCACUAGGUGUGGGACUCUAUCGACGGGUUCCGUGCCGUAGCUAACGCAUUAAGUGCCCCGCCUGGGAGUACGGA
Molecule: ribosomal RNA, 639 nt
Filed under: uncultured bacterium
Lineage: Bacteria
Description: bacterial SSU rRNA
Rfam family: Bacterial small subunit ribosomal RNA
Source: RNAcentral